ACUUGAAAACAGGAGAGAAAAUAUUGGAGGUUGCCAAAUUUUGUUCAUUUCGAGAUCCUCCGAUGCAUAAAUUAAAUAAAAAUUUUAGAAAACAAUAAAGAUUUGAGAAAGAGUUCUAAGAGUGGGACUUAAUUGCAUGGGAUGCUUAUUCAUAGGCCAAGCAGUAAUAGCCACCUAUUGAGCAAGCUUUAACUGCCUUUAUAGUGCCUUUAGUGGAAGCCACAUGGUGGGCUUCCAUUAGUUGUCUAAGUAGGGAUGCAAGGAGUAUCAAUAUAUUUUCUAAUGGUUUAUUCAACUGUGUUUGUGGG
Molecule: long non-coding RNA, 308 nt
Filed under: Elaeis guineensis (African oil palm)
Lineage: Eukaryota; Viridiplantae; Streptophyta; Magnoliopsida; Arecales; Arecaceae
Description: long non-coding RNA (EGUI_LNC015656)
Source: RNAcentral